This 509-nucleotide ribosomal RNA is filed under the name Fusarium avenaceum. RNAcentral's name for it is "eukaryotic LSU rRNA". The stretch from base 134 to 287 matches the Rfam family "5.8S ribosomal RNA". The record is from RNAcentral. Lineage: Eukaryota; Fungi; Ascomycota; Sordariomycetes; Hypocreales; Nectriaceae.
UGGUUGGAAAAAAUAACCCCUAUAACCUUUCCUCGGCGGAUCAGCCCGCGCCCCGUAAAACGGGACGGCCCGCCCGAAGACCCUCAACUCUGUUUUUAGUGGAACUUCUUAGUAAAACAAACAAAUAAAUAAAAACUUUUUACAACGGAUCUCUUGGUUCUGGCAUCGAUGAAGAACGCAGCAAAAUGCGAUAAGUAAUGUGAAUUGCUGAAUUCAUUGAAGCAUCAAAUCUUUGAACGCACAUUGUGGCCGCCAGUAUUCUGGCGGGCAUGCCGGUUCGAGCGUCAUUUCAACCCUCAAGCUCCCCUGGGUGGUGGGACUGGUGGUAACCCGCGUUCCCCAAAUCGAUUGGCGGCCACCUCGAGCUUCCAUAGCGUAGUAAUCAUACACCUCGUUACUGGUAAUCGUCGCGGCCACGCCGUAAAACCCCAACUUCUGAAUGUUGACCUCGGAUCAGGUAGGAAUACCCGCUGAACUUAAGCAUAUCACUAAGCGGAGGAGAAAUAAUU